GCGGCGCGGACAGCAGGGAGGGGCCGCGCGGAGGUUCAGUCCCUGCCGCCCUGGGAGUCUGUGCUGCCCCCGCCCCGCUCCGCUCCGGGGCACGUGACUCGGGGCUCGGGGAUCUCAGAGGGUCCUGGAGAUCCGGGGGUCUACGGCGAUUUCGGGGGUCCGGGGAGUCGAGGGUCUUGGGCGUGCGAGGAUCUCAGAGAAUCUGCGAUCUCGGGGUUUCGGGGGCCGCGGUUGUGGCCGCGGGGCGCAAUGGGCCCGCAGCGAACUCCACUGAAGCGCGUCUGCGGGAGCCGAGGGCCGCCACUCUCCCCAACCCGGAAAGCGCAGCGCGAGAAAGGCAGGUUAUAUGCCAGCCUCACUCAUGAACAUCGCCACAAAAACUUAAAUAAAUAAAUGUUAUCAAGCAUGCAAGGAAAGUAUUUGAUGAAAUUCAGCAUCCAUGCAUGACCGGAACACUUGGCGGAAGAAUAAGAAAGUCCUUCUUCCGGGAAUCCACCAAACAGAACAAAACUCUCCUAACGCCAGGCCCUCCAGUUCCUGAAACCCUGGUCCAAGAAUUCACCACUCACACCCAAGAAGAGGAAGAAAAUAAAUGCGAGGGAAAUGAAAGAAACGUUUACAUGGUGGGUCCAGUGUUUAUCUUAGCAAGCGAAUGAAAUGCAUGGCUCUGAGCAGCAGUACAAAAUCACUUCCUUGAAAAGUAACAACCAAAUGCCUGUGCUCACCUUUCUCCUAGCUGGCCUGUGCUCACCUUUCUCCUACCUGGCUUUCCCCCUGCCUGAGGCCUCCCUGCCUCCUGGCUGGUUCCCACCUUCGCCUACAAUGACCUUUCUUCCCGGCACUCCCAGGUGAGUCAGGCAGUGACACCGUGGACUUCCAGCCCCCUUCAGCCUCAUCAUGGGUGGCUGUCUGUGGUAGGAAAGCCUGAGAACCCAGCUAUGUUUGAUUACACUGCUUAUGGGAAAACACGUUUCAGAGUCUGAAAUACCAACUGACAAUUUGCUCCUAAACCUGUUAUAACACAAUCCGGUGAGAACUGCCUAGACGUUGAAAGUCAAGUUAGAAGUAGAGACCGUGGUUCCCAAGCUCGGUGUCGUGACAUCACUGUCAUAGUGAGAUUUGUUACAAGCAAUUUUUCACAAUUAUAAUGUUUGCAGUGAUUUUUUAUCUAAAUGAAACAAUGCAAACUGGAGACUCUCCCUGUAAUGCGGUUCGCUGGGGUUUCUGCGUGACGAGGGAACGGAAGGCCCUACUCCAGCCGUUACUGUAACCCACGGCCACUUAGUUUGAACACCGUGGUUUCUGCACACCCACAGAAGUGUGUCGCAAUUAUGACCAGAAGUGCACCACUACAAAACGGUGUUGACAGAUGCUGUUAGACAACCUACCAAGUUACAGGAGAGAAAGGCCAGGCACUACCAGAACCAGAGCAGGCACCGCAUUCUGCACCCUGGAGGGUGUUAGUUCAGACUGGGAGAAGACAUCUGAGGUGAGGACAGUGGCUUCCGAAGGGUGAGCAGACGGCGCCGCGUUCCACUGAGGUCUGGCUCGGUUUCAUUGUCUCCCACGCGAAGUUAAUGGAUUCCAGGAUUAUCAUUUCUUCCCGGGCCUCUGUUUGUGAAAGGAAUAUUAACUGAACCCAGAAGGGAGCGUGAGGUGAGGUAAGAGAAACAGCCAAGACUCCCACCUUAUGCAGGUAAAGGGUCAGGAUUUAAAGGAGGUGGCUAAGGGAUACUGAACCUACCUGACACUGAAGCAGAAUCGUCUUCCUCAAAUGCUUACCAAUUGCUGUGGUCUGAACCCCCACCCCAAGUUCACUUGUUGAUGGUGUUAGGAGAGGGAGCCUGGGAGGUGAUGAGGUCACAAGGUUAGAGGCCCCAUGGGAUCUGGGACCUUCUUAAAACACCCCUUCCUUCAUGUGCAGUCACAGUGAGAAGAAGCCGCCUGUGAACCUACAAAAUCAUAAAAAUUAUUCAGUUGUGUUUCCAGCACCAAGGCCUGUGUCUGUCACAAACGGCUUCAUGACGCGCGGACACUGCUGAGUGCCGGGCAGGCCGGUCGUGGUCGAGACCGUCGGCCACGGAGGGAGCCGGCUCAGCUGAGGCGGACUACCCCUUUGUGUACACAGAGGACGGGUUACGCUCGUGGCCUCCUGGCUGUGGGGACGCUGGCUGGUGGCCUGGCCUCAUUCCGGCUGUCCCACCCAGGAGUAGGGGAACAGCAGGCGUUCGUAGAUGACGGCGUCUGUGCCAGGCACGUUGCUUUUCAUAAAUCGCCUCUAACCCUCACGACAGGCCUGCAAGGGCUUUAGGAUCCCCAGUUUGCGGACAAGGAAUCCAAGUGUCAUUUCCCGUUCCGCUGUGCCCGAGCCAGGUGAGGCCUAGAGAAGCAGCUGGCAGAGAGCAGAGAAGGAGGUGCGCCCCGCGGACACGUGGCAGGUCCUGUCUGCUGGGCCAGCGCUGCGUGGGACCAGGCAUCUGCUGAGUCACUCAUUGUGGCCCUCGACCAGCUGCCCCUCCCAUGCACCCUGUCACUCAGUGUGGUGACCAAGCUGGUGUUCGCCAUGCCAGGCCAGCUGGUCCAGACUGUCACACCAAAGGCGCCGCGUCUGAGGGACCGCGUGGGCCUUCGCGUGCCGCCUGCGUGCUAACCUCUCUUCCCCUCUUGCUCGCCCUGCGAGAUAGCCCGUGGAGGUGUUGGAGAGGGUGUGAGGUUGUGUCCAGCUUGGUUCAUCUGUUGGACUCUGGGAGGCUGUCGCCACACCAGUGGCUACCAGAGGCCUGGCUUAGUCCCAAGGAUGGGAAGACUGGAGAAAAUAUUCACCCUCCAAAAGUUGCACCCCACCUAACUGUGGGCUGUCGGGGACGGGGAAUACUUCGUCAUACCCCAGCAUGAAGAACCGGACACAAGUCACGGAGGGCUAUGUUGUUUUAGGUCUAUGUAUCACGGUUUGCUUGAGACAACAGAGGGUGACGUGUUACUGACGAGCGCUAAGCUGUUAACACCUCGUCCGUGUAACUUCCGGACAGUUUUAACUACAGCACGAGUAAGAACCUUCGCAAGUAAAACGUUAGCUCACGAAAACCAGCCUGGCCACGGCCGGAGCACGGGGAGGCAGAAGCAGAUUAUGUCCAUAUUUUUGAGCGAGGGCUGGAUGAGCAAGGCAGGCCCUGACCACUACCCAGACUGUCCAAUGACUGUCGCCCUGCUAAGCCCCCAGUGGUGUGAGCUGUCCCCGCCUGCGCUGCCCAGUGCUCCGGCCUCUUUGCGGCAGAGACCCCGCAGGGGACGCCCUGACCGGCACGUCGGGCUCCGUCACCAGGUGCGAGCUUCCUGUGGUCAGGAGCCUGUCGCCUGGCCCUGUCGGCUUGUGCCAUGGCUCUGGGUUGCUGCCAGGCCACACAGCCUCCUCACAAUAGCACCGCAGCGAGUGAUGUCGGCCAGCCCCGUGAGCCCCCACGCCCCUGGACUAAGCAGGUGGCAGGAGCGGGCAGCAACCCCUUGGCCAGGCCUCGGCCAACGGCAGGUGGAUGAGGCGCGUCCUGCCAACAGAACCUCGGCCGAGCAGAGCGAGCUCAGCCUCCACACCUGGGCUGAGGCGUCGAGCGGGAGCCGGGAGGGCGGCGCUCGGUGACCGUGCCGUGUCCCCCAGCCGCUUCCCUUUCUCUUGUCAUCUGCCUCCCGACACUGGAUCUGGGUAUGGAACGUCUGACGCUGCUGCUGACUCUAGCCAGCGCGUGCUUCGGGCAGGCUGAGCCAAGGCCCAAGAAACGGAACUCUCCUGAUGGCUCGGAAGCUGGAGCGAGCCGCGUGGGUGCCCCAUCUGAGCAUCCUCCCCUGGUAUCUCAUGAGUGGACGUUAUGCCCUCGAGAAGCUACGGACUGCCCCCGAGCAGCGGACGGGUGCGCACCCUGCCCUCUGUCGCGGACAAUGUCAGAGGUUCACGACUCCAGCCUGCUGCUUCUGCCUCCCCCCAACAGGGACCUGGGCCUGGUCUCUGUGUGCACAGCGUCUCCAGCUUUCCACGGCCUGCUGGACGAGGACUCUGCGCACGGAGCCCGAAGCGGCUUUUCUUCCUUCCGAUUUGCACCGCAGAAUGCCUGCCGUCAGCCUACUUACAAUUGUGCAGCUUCCAAGUUUGCAUCUCGGCCAAGCUCUCGGGGCCCCAGGGUGCACGUCCUACCCUGCUGUGACUGUGGGACGAAUGUCAGGACCCAGAGGGCGACCUCCAGAUGGGCUCUAAGGAGAAGGCAGAUCUCGCAGGCAUGGCGCCAGCUGCAUUGCCGACCAACACGGCUCGGUUUUAACCGACUGGGCCCGGCCUUGUCUGCCAGGCUGAGGGGUGGGCUCAGCGUCAGGCUGCGGCAUGCGGGAGCCGACAUGGGCCCUCGGACCCCGCCACGUCGCUGCUGCUCGGCUCUGACGUGGCGGCCUGCCUUCUGGUCGUUGAGUCGUCACGCCGAGACUGCACGUGUCUUGAGGUUCUGCCGGUCUGCGCUGAGGACGCACAAGAAGCUAUGUCUUUGGAAACUUUGGCAACUGUCAUAGAGAUUUAAGUUAGAGGAAAAGUGACGUCUUAAACACAGAAAAUAACACAUGUUCAUAAGACAAUACGGCGAGAGCAGGUCGAUUCAAUAGCCUGUGAACGAAUUUAAAGCUGUAUUUAUUUGUUUUGUUUUACUUAAGAAACCUGCAUUGUGUGCCUACAAUGUGCCAAGCAUCCUGGUGGGUGUGGAUGCCAGAACGAGCCCCCAAAGAGGUCCGUGUCACCGUCUCCAGACCCGUGCCUGUGUCACCUCACCAUAGCGAGGGGCGUCAGGCUGAAGACAGCCUGGAGUUUGCUCGCCAGCUGACCUAGGUAGCGGGAGGGCCUUGCCUCAGCCGGGUGGGCCUUGUUAAUCACAAGGGUCCUUGUAAGUGGGAGGGGCUCGGUGUCAGCGCCAUGCACGUGACAAGGACUUCAGUGCCACUGCUGGCUCUGAAGAUGGAGGGAGGCACCUGGAGCCAUGGAUGUGGGUGCCUCUAGACGCUGGGGAAGUCCAGGCGACAGCGCCUUCCCGUGACUCCUCGGAAGGGGCGCAGCCCCCAUGUCUGGCGUCAGCUCUCCGGCCUGAAGAGCUGUGGGGGCCGUUUGUGGGUGCUGGUGCAGCAGCCAAAGAACGCGAAGGUGCCCACAGAGCUGUUGGUUUGUCUGACUGUUGCUGAAGGGAAGGCAGACAAGACACGACUCUCAACCUGAGUGGUGAACAGUGACCCCCAGGUGAGGUCAGCACACGUUUGCACGCGUGUGGAGGUUCCUGUGUGCUGUCGAGUGGAAGGGAGGGAGCAAACGCAGAGCCAUGCUGAACUGCAGCCUGAGAGCAGUGGAUCCGACCCUCCUAAUCCUGCGCCCCCCACAAAUGCUGCAUUUCUACCGACCACUCGAGCCACACGUGAGGCCACGCAGCAGAUGCUCGCCGGAAAAGUACAGAGUCGGCUAAUAAAAGCACCAAAACCAAGCAAAAAUAAAUCCAGCAACGUCCUCUUUCGACCUUCUAUAUAAACAUCAUUUAGAAGCAGGUCUUGUGUUUGAUCAGUUUCCGUUUUUCCGGUGGAGAAACCAGAAGCCGAGGUGCCACGAGGUGGGCGCUCGCCCAGUUAACGGCAGGCCGCAGCCGGAACCCGCGUCUCUUCACGGGGCCAACACUCCUCCGCCCCGAGGUACUCCAGAGCAGCGCUUGUCCCCUCGGGUGCAGGGGAGCCUGACGACCCAGGCCAGGGGACAAUGGCGACUCACUGAGCCACAUGGCUUCCCGCUCCCGCUAUCUGAGGAGUCUCCUGGCUUCCUGUUCCAUCCACCCUCAGCCACUGGGUGAGCUCGCUGUGGCCUUUCUCUCCCAGGCUCAGUCAGGGCUGGCUCCUCUGGGCUGUGGGACAGGAUCGCGGGGGCCACUUGUAAAGGGAGCGCAGGGAUGGCGGGCAGGUGGCUCCAGCCACAGCUGAGGGCGGAGCUGCGUUUAUUCAACAGGUUUAUUCAACACCAAGGGGCGGGCGCCUCGGAGGCUCCGGGGCAUAGGAGUG
Pteropus alecto (black flying fox) is the source of this 6060-nucleotide long non-coding RNA. RefSeq lists it as uncharacterized. The transcript is spliced from 3 exons. The record is from RefSeq and is a predicted model, not a curated record. Lineage: Eukaryota; Metazoa; Chordata; Mammalia; Chiroptera; Pteropodidae.